UUGAUACCUUUAUGAAGUGUGAACAGGUCCCAUGAGUGAAUUAAAGGGAACUAGUGAUUACAUGAACAAAAAUUUGCCACACCUUUUUAGAGCUUUACAUAUCUAAGCCCCAGGGACAGUUGCAGAGUUUGGGGGAGUCCAAAGUGCUUUGUGGAGCAGACCCUUGUAGAAGGAAGAAGGAGAUUUCUCUCUUCUCCUUCCUCCCAUUGGCCAUGACAUCCAAUAGCAAUUUGUCCAGAGAGAAACCUCAUCUAGCAGUUCCAGAGUUCAUGGGUUUGAGAGAGUUGAGGCCAAAUUGAGAGAGCAGACAUUCUAGACAAAGGUGGACAUAGAAGAGCAGUAGUUUGAGGGAGGAAGGUCUUUGAGGAAUGGGGACCCCUGGCAAGAGAGGAGAGAACCACCUGUGAGGUCAAGAGAAAGCUCGCCAUGGUAACCCAAGCUCAACAGAGAGUUGAGCUACAAGGAGAAGCAGAGCUGGGAACCGAGCUUAGCAAUCCAUUCACUGCAGAGAUGCUGCACCCACUAGGAGAGCUGCUUAAGGACUGUGUGGAGAGGGAAAGGACAUGACAGCCCUUCAGUGCCCUGGCUGUGAGUGCCUUGGCCACAUACGUUCCCUACAUGUGUGCCUCAUUACCAUUGUAUUCUGUGUCCAAUCUUCCCAGAGAUGCACAAGUACUGCCGGCAGCCUCUUGCACUCUUUCAGGGAGGAGCAAUUAGAUGUGACCUAAGAACAGGGAAGUACACAGAGGAGAAAGGCUACACACCUCCUUGUUCUUUCAACUAGAGUUCACCUGACACAGUUUUACGUUCUCUCCACAAUCUGGUGGUCAUUGUCCUCUGGACACAGAGAUGAUCAGUAUUGACAGGAGUUGACCCCUUUAGUAAAAAUGGUGAAUCCAGAAGCACUUUGAAGAAACAGACUCAGAGAAAGACCAAGACUUAACAAGCUAUUCCUUGAUUCAGUGAAU
This is a non-coding RNA of Phascolarctos cinereus (koala), 968 nucleotides long. NCBI's taxonomy places the organism in Eukaryota, Metazoa, Chordata, Mammalia, Diprotodontia, Phascolarctidae. The record is from RefSeq and is a predicted model, not a curated record.